RNAcentral lists this ribosomal RNA (504 nucleotides) under uncultured bacterium. RNAcentral's name for it is "bacterial SSU rRNA". It matches the Rfam family "Bacterial small subunit ribosomal RNA", at positions 34 to 518 of the family's 1533-position model. The record is from RNAcentral.
CGCUGGCGGCGUGCCUAAUACAUGCAAGUCGAGCGAACUAAGAGGAGUACUUGUACUCUUUGAGGUUAGCGGCGCACGGGUGAGUAACACGUGGGAAACCUACCCUUUAGCGGGGGAUAACAUUCGGAAACGGAUGCUAAUACCGCAUAGAACAUUUGGCUGCAUGGCUGAGUGAGGAAAGGCGCUACGGCGUCACUAAAGGAUGGUCCCGCGGUGCAUUAGCUAGUAGGUAAGGUAACGGCUUACCUAGGCGAUGAUGCAUAGCCGACCUGAGAGGGUGAUCGGCCGCAUUGGGACUGAGACACGGCCCAAACUCCUACGGGAGGCAGCAGUAGGGAAUCUUCGGCAAUGGACGCAAGUCUGACCGAGCAACGCCGCGUGAGUGAAGAAGGUUUUCGGAAUCGUAAAGCUCUGUUGUGAGAGAAGAAUAGUAUGAAGAGGGAAUGCUUCAUAUGUGACGGUAUCUCACCAGAAAGCCACGGCUAACUACGUGCCAGCCGCCGC